Molecule: transfer RNA, 59 nt
Filed under: Ictidomys tridecemlineatus (thirteen-lined ground squirrel)
Lineage: Eukaryota; Metazoa; Chordata; Mammalia; Rodentia; Sciuridae
Description: Spermophilus tridecemlineatus (thirteen-lined ground squirrel) tRNA
Rfam family: tRNA
About the family: Transfer RNA (tRNA) molecules are approximately 80 nucleotides in length.
Source: Rfam by way of RNAcentral
AUGGCUCAGUGGUAGAGCAGUUGCCUGACAUGCGUGAGGCCCUGGGUUCAAUCCCCAGU